Molecule: unclassified non-coding RNA, 565 nt
Filed under: Hevea brasiliensis (rubber tree)
Lineage: Eukaryota; Viridiplantae; Streptophyta; Magnoliopsida; Malpighiales; Euphorbiaceae
Source: RNAcentral
GGAGAACCAGCUAGAGGAGGUUGGAUAUUGAUAUUUACUUUGACUCCUUUUCCCCCUUCAUUUUGCACCACAAGUAACAAUUCAGUAGAUCCAUUCUGGGGAGUCUGAAUGCAUGCAAGCAGGGUUUGCCCAAUCCUGCACAUUUUUUUAGCCUUCUGACAGCUCUGAUUGGUGUUCACUUCCGAGUUUAUUGUUUCGUCUAUUUUCUUCUUUUCUUCAUUCUCCUUCUUCAGCACAGGUGGAGGGGUUUCAACAGUCACAUUUUUAUCAUUUUUAGACCCAUCGGGAUCCAAUUUUGGCAAGUGAUUGCCUCCCUGAGGCUGAGGAUCUUUAGGUUUCUCUUUGUCAGCUUUAGAGCUCCCAUCAUUCACUACAGUGGUAUUUGGUUCUUUUGGAUCAAUCUUUGUUGGACCAUUUCUUCCCUGAGGAUCUUUAGGCUGUUCAGUUUUAGCUUCUGAGCUUCCAUCAUUGACUACAGUUGAAUUCUGGUCCUUCAAAUCUUUAGGUGCAUCAUCGAUUACUUGAGGAUCUUUAGGAUUUUGGUUUUCAGUUUGUGAUCUCCCAU